Long non-coding RNA from Lepidothrix coronata (blue-crowned manakin), 978 nucleotides. RefSeq lists it as uncharacterized. Lineage: Eukaryota; Metazoa; Chordata; Aves; Passeriformes; Pipridae. The record is from RefSeq and is a predicted model, not a curated record. The transcript has 4 exons.
CUUCCCGCAGGAUUUACGACCAGCGGAAGAUCGACGAGAACGAGAACAACGGCGUCCUGAAGAAGUUCUGCCCCCACCACCUGGUGAACAGCGAGUCCAAAGCCAACAUCACGUGCCUGGUUUACAGCCACGACGGCUCCGAGCUGCUGGCCAGUUACAACGACGAGGACAUUUACCUCUUCGACGCCGGGCACAGCGACGGCGCCCAGUACAGCAAACGCUACAAGGGGCACCGCAACAACGCCACGGGUGGGGGCUCGGGGGGGGCCCUGGCACCCCAAAAACCUCGGGGGGGGCUGGGGGAGGGGCCCCCGAAAGUUGGGUCCCCCCGGGGGGGCGGGAAGUGCCGGGAUUCCCGAAAAAUCUGAACGCGCAGAGGCGCCCGGGCGCCUGCCGGGUUGGUGUGACCCCGUGGGGUUUGGGGGGUUUUUGGGGGGUAAAACCACCCCAAAAUCUUCCCAAAAUCUCUGUCCUAUAUGGGAAGGGUCCCCCCAAAUUUGUGUCCCUGUAGGGGGUCGGGAAAUCCCAGAAUUCCCAAAAAUCUGAGCUCGCGGAGGCGGCCGGUCACCUCCCGGGUUGAUGUGACCCCGUGGGGUUUGGGGGGGUUUUGGGGGGUAAAACCACCCCAAAACCUCCCCAAAAUCUUUGUCCUAUAUGGGAAGGGUCCCCCCAAAUUUGUGUCCCUGUGGGGGGUCGGGAAAUCUCAGAAUUCCCAAAAAUCUGAGCUCCCAGAGGCCCCGGUCACCUCCCAGCACCUCCCAGGUUGAUGUCACCCUGUGGGGUUUGGGGGGCAAAAACACUGCAAAAACCCCUCAAGGUGCCCCAAAAUCUUCCCAAAAUCUCUGUCCUAUAUGGGAGGGGUCCCCCCAAAUUUGUGUCCCUGUUGGGGGGUCGGGAAAUCCCGGAAUUCCCAAAAAUCUGAGCUCCCAGAGUCACCAAUCACCUCCCAGCCCGGCCCAGGGAGGGCUGGAAAAAAGG